This 64-nucleotide transfer RNA is filed under the name Homola orientalis. RNAcentral describes it as "tRNA-Tyr". It matches the Rfam family "tRNA". From Rfam's summary of the family: Transfer RNA (tRNA) molecules are approximately 80 nucleotides in length. Lineage: Eukaryota; Metazoa; Arthropoda; Malacostraca; Decapoda; Homolidae. The record is from RNAcentral.
GAUAAAGUGGCUGAGGAUAGGCGGUAGAUUGUAAAUCUAUUAACAAGUUAAAACUUCUUUAUUA